UACGGAGGGUGCGAGCGUUGUCCGGAAUCACUGGGCGUAAAGAGCUCGUAGGCGGUCUGUUGCGUCCGCUGUGAAAACUCGGGGCUUAACCCCGAGCCUGCAGUGGAUACGGGCAGACUAGAGGUAGGUAGGGGAGAAUGGAAUUCCCGGUGUAGCGGUGAAAUGCGCAGAUAUCGGGAGGAACACCGGUGGCGAAGGCGGUUCUCUGGGCCUUACCUGACGCUGAGGAGCGAAAGCGUGGGGAGCGAACAGG
This 253-nucleotide ribosomal RNA is filed under the name uncultured bacterium. RNAcentral describes it as "partial 16S ribosomal RNA". It matches the Rfam family "Bacterial small subunit ribosomal RNA", at positions 524 to 776 of the family's 1533-position model. The record is from RNAcentral.